This 421-nucleotide ribosomal RNA is filed under the name uncultured fungus. RNAcentral describes it as "eukaryotic LSU rRNA". It matches the Rfam family "Eukaryotic large subunit ribosomal RNA", at positions 1 to 422 of the family's 3401-position model. The record is from RNAcentral. Lineage: Eukaryota; Fungi.
GACCUCGGAUCAGGUAGGAAUACCCGCUGAACUUAAGCAUAUCAAUAAGCGGAGGAAAAGAAACCAACAGGGAUUGCCUCAGUAACGGCGAGUGAAGCGGCAAAAGCUCAAAUUUGAAAUCUGACCCUUCGGGUCCGAGUUGUAAUUUGCAGAGGAUGUUUCGGGUGAGAUUUAGGUCUAAGUUCCUUGGAACAGGACGUCAUAGAGGGUGAGAAUCCCGUACGUGACCGUUGAUCGCACCCAUGUGAAACUCCUUCGACGAGUCGAGUUGUUUGGGAAUGCAGCUCAAAAUGGGUGGUAAAUUUCAUCUAAAGCUAAAUAUUGGCCAGAGACCGAUAGCGCACAAGUAGAGUGAUCGAAAGAUGAAAAGCACUUUGAAAAGAGAGUUAAACAGUAUGUGAAAUUGUUGAAAGGGAAGCGC